AUACGGAGGGUGCAAGCGUUAUUCGGAAUCACUGGGCGUAAAGGACGCGUAGGCGGGUUGGCAAGUCAGAUGUGAAAUCCUACAGCUUAACUGUAGAACUGCAUUUGAAACUGCUAACCUAGAGUAUGGGAGGGGGAGAUGGAAUUAGUGGUGUGGGGGUAAAAUCCGUAGAUAUCACUAGGAAUACCGAAAGCGAAGGCGAUCUCCUGGAACAUAACUGACGCUAAGGCGUGAAAGCGUGGGGAGCAAACAGGAUUAGAAACCCUAGUAGUCC
RNAcentral lists this ribosomal RNA (274 nucleotides) under uncultured bacterium. RNAcentral describes it as "partial 16S ribosomal RNA". It matches the Rfam family "Bacterial small subunit ribosomal RNA", at positions 523 to 796 of the family's 1533-position model. The record is from RNAcentral.